Molecule: unclassified non-coding RNA, 153 nt
Filed under: uncultured fungus
Lineage: Eukaryota; Fungi
Description: sequence contains ITS1
Source: RNAcentral
UUUCAUUUCCAUUUUUAAUUCAGACGUCAAGACAGACUUCUGCAUAAAAGCGGCGCCCAGGCGCCGAAGCACGAGUCGCUUCCACGGGUUUUGAAGGGUUGAAGGCACAGAGGCCAUUCGAUAAUGAUCCCUCCGCAGGUUCACCUACGGAGA